AUUCUGAUAGCUCAAUAAGAGCUUUACAUUGAAGAUGUAAAGGUAGUUUUACUUUGGAAUA
This 61-nucleotide transfer RNA is filed under the name Pseudoniphargus sp. 2-Portugal. RNAcentral describes it as "tRNA-Phe". The record is from RNAcentral. Lineage: Eukaryota; Metazoa; Arthropoda; Malacostraca; Amphipoda; Allocrangonyctidae.